CCUACGGGAGGCAGCAGUGGGGAAUAUUGCACAAUGGGGGAAACCCUGAUGCAGCAACGCCGCGUGAGUGAAGAAGGAUUUCGGAUUGUAAAGCUCUAUCAGCAGGGAAGAAGGAAAACGGUACCUGACUAAAAAACCCCGGCUAACUACGUGCCAGCAGCCGCGGUAAAACGUGGGGGGCAAGCGUUAUCCGGAUUUACUGGGGGUAAAGGGGGCGUAGACGGCGGUGCAAGUCUGAAGUGAAAGCCCGUGGCUCAACCGCCGAACUGCAUUUGAAACUGUAUAGCUUGAGUACUGGAGAGGCAGGCGGAAUUCCUAGUGUAGCGGUGAAAUGCGUAGAUAUUAGGAGGAACACCAGUGGCGAAGGCGGCCUGCUGGACAGAAACUGACGGUGAGGCUCGAAAGCGUGGGGAGCAAACAGGAUUAGAUACCCUUGUAGUC
Molecule: ribosomal RNA, 441 nt
Filed under: uncultured bacterium
Lineage: Bacteria
Description: partial 16S ribosomal RNA
Rfam family: Bacterial small subunit ribosomal RNA
Source: RNAcentral